ACCUCCGGGAGGCAGCAGUGGGGAAUAUUGCACAAUGGGGGAAACCCUGAUGCAGCAACGCCGCGUGAGUGAAGAAGGUUUUCGGAUUGUAAAGCUCUGUUAGCAGGGAAGAGGAAGGACGGUACCUGCGGAGGAAGCACCGGCUAACUACGUGCCAGCAGCCGCGGCAAUACGUAGGGGGCAAGCGUUGUUCGGAAUAACUGGGCGUAAAGGAUGCGUAGGCGGUUAAACAAGUUAUAU
RNAcentral lists this ribosomal RNA (240 nucleotides) under uncultured bacterium. Its description in RNAcentral is "partial 16S ribosomal RNA". It matches the Rfam family "Bacterial small subunit ribosomal RNA", at positions 337 to 593 of the family's 1533-position model. The record is from RNAcentral.